UGGGGAAUAUUGCGCAAUGGGGGGAACCCUGACGCAGCCAUGCCGCGUGAAUGAAAAAGGCCUUCGGGUUGUAAAGUUCUUUCGGUAUUGAGGAAGGUUGAUGUGUUAAUAGCACAUCAAAUUGACGUUAAAUACAGAAGAAGCACCGGCUAACUCCGUGCCAGCAGCCGCGGUAAUACGGAGGGUGCGAGCGUUAAUCGGAAUAACUGGGCGUAAAGGGCACGCAGGCGGUUAUUUAAGUGAGGUGUGAAAGCCCCGGGCUUAACCUGGGAAUUGCAUUUCAGACUGGGUAACUAGAGUACUUUAGGGAGGGGUAGAAUUCCACGUGUAGCGGUGAAAUGCGUAGAGAUGUGGAGGAAUACCGAAGGCGAAGGCAGCCCCUUGGGAAUGUACUGACGCUCAUGUGCGAAAGCGUGGGGAGCAAACAGGAUUAGAUACCCUGGUAGUCCACGCUGUAAACGCUGUCGAUUUGGGGGUUGGGGUUUAACUCUGGCGCCCGUAGCUAACGUGAUAGAUCGACCGCCUGGGGAGUACGGCCGCAAGGUUA
Molecule: ribosomal RNA, 547 nt
Filed under: uncultured bacterium
Lineage: Bacteria
Description: bacterial SSU rRNA
Rfam family: Bacterial small subunit ribosomal RNA
Source: RNAcentral